UCGAGAAUCAUUCGCAAUGGGCGAAAGCCUGACGGUGCGACGCCGCGUGGAGGAUGAAGGCCCUAGGGUCGUAAACUCCUGUCAUCAGGGAGUAAUGGCUCAUAUAGUAACUGAUAUGGGUCUUGAUAGUACCUGAAGAGGAAGGGACGGCAAACUUCGUGCCAGCAGCCGCGGUAAUACGAAGGUCCCAAGCGUUGUUCGGAUUUACUGGGCGUAAAGAGUCUGUAGGCGGUGGGGUAAGUCAGAUGUGAAAUCCCGGGGCUCAACCCCGGAACUGCAUCCGAUACUGCCUUACUUGAGGGUCGGAGGGGAGUCUGGAAUUCUCGGUGUAGCAGUGAAAUGCGUAGAUAUCGAGAGGAACACUAGUGGCGAAGGCGAGACUCUGGACGACAACUGACGCUGAGAGACGAAGGCCAGGGGAGCGAAAAGGAUUAGAUACCCCCGUAGUCCCUGAGCGGGCUGGCAAGGCGCAU
RNAcentral lists this ribosomal RNA (473 nucleotides) under uncultured bacterium. RNAcentral's name for it is "bacterial SSU rRNA". It matches the Rfam family "Bacterial small subunit ribosomal RNA", at positions 355 to 825 of the family's 1533-position model. The record is from RNAcentral.